CCGAAGCCGGUGCCUAACCCUUGUGGAGGGAGCCGUCGAAGGUGGGAUCGGCGAUUGGGACGAAGUCGUAACAAGGUAGCCGUACCGGAAGGUGCGGCUGGAUCACCUCCUUUCUAAGGAG
Molecule: ribosomal RNA, 121 nt
Filed under: Rhodococcus (subgen. Prescottella) equi
Lineage: Bacteria; Bacillati; Actinomycetota; Actinomycetes; Mycobacteriales; Nocardiaceae
Description: Rhodococcus hoagii partial 16S ribosomal RNA
Rfam family: Bacterial small subunit ribosomal RNA
Source: RNAcentral